UUUGAAGUUGUAAAUUGAUCUUGAAUGAAUGGUUUUCUUCAUGGUGUUGUAGGUUGACAUUUUGGACUUGUGAAUGAACUUUGGUACUUAUGGGCUCGCGUGUUGGUAUGGUUUAUUGCUUGGUUGGGAAUGCUUAUGAAGAGUGGAUGGAAUUUCUUGUGUAUGGAAUACUAUGGAAACUUGAAUUGGCUUGGCCUUUUUUGUAAAUUCAUGAAUUAAACAUUGUAAAUUGUAAUAUAAUUUGAAGAUAUUUGGAAUGAAUUUGCAAAUUGAUGUUGGAGAUAUGGUUGGAAGUGAAUUAUAAUUUGAA
RNAcentral lists this long non-coding RNA (310 nucleotides) under Lathyrus oleraceus (garden pea). RNAcentral describes it as "Pisum sativum (pea) long non-coding RNA (PSAT_LNC022884)". The record is from RNAcentral. Lineage: Eukaryota; Viridiplantae; Streptophyta; Magnoliopsida; Fabales; Fabaceae.